Molecule: ribosomal RNA, 465 nt
Filed under: Vreelandella stevensii
Lineage: Bacteria; Pseudomonadati; Pseudomonadota; Gammaproteobacteria; Oceanospirillales; Halomonadaceae
Description: partial 16S ribosomal RNA
Rfam family: Bacterial small subunit ribosomal RNA
Source: RNAcentral
CCUACGGGGGGCAGCAGUGGGGAAUAUUGGACAAUGGGGGCAACCCUGAUCCAGCCAUGCCGCGUGUGUGAAGAAGGCCCUCGGGUUGUAAAGCACUUUCAGUGAGGAAGAACGCCUGGUGGUUAAUACCCAUCAGGAAAGACAUCACUCACAGAAGAAGCACCGGCUAACUCCGUGCCAGCAGCCGCGGUAAUACGGAGGGUGCGAGCGUUAAUCGGAAUUACUGGGCGUAAAGCGCGCGUAGGUGGCUUGAUAAGCCGGUUGUGAAAGCCCCGGGCUCAACCUGGGAACGGCAUCCGGAACUGUCAAGCUAGAGUGCAGGCGAGGAAGGUAGAAUUCCCGGUGUAGCGGUGAAAUGCGUAGAGAUCGGGAGGAAUACCAGUGGCGAAGGCGGCCUUCUGGACUGACACUGACACUGAGGUGCGAAAGCGUGGGUAGCAAACAGGAUUAGAUACCCCAGUAGUU